Molecule: ribosomal RNA, 343 nt
Filed under: uncultured soil bacterium
Lineage: Bacteria
Description: bacterial SSU rRNA
Rfam family: Bacterial small subunit ribosomal RNA
Source: RNAcentral
AGAUUGAACGCUGGCGGCAUGCCUAACACAUGCAAGUCGAACGGGAGUAGCAAUACUCUAGUGGCGGACGGGUGAGGAAUACGUAGGAAUUUGCCCUUAAGUGGGGGAUAACCCGGGGAAACCCGGAUUAAUACCGCAUGACCUCGAAAGAGCAAAGUGGGGGAUCGCAAGACCUCACGCUUUUGGAGGAGCCUACGUCGGAUUAGCUAGUUGGUGAGGUAAUGGCUCACCAAGGCGACGAUCCGUAACUGGUCUGAGAGGAUGAUCAGUCACACCGGAACUGAGACACGGUCCGGACUCCGUACGGGAGCAGCAGGUGGGGAAUAGUUGGACAAGUGGGGCG